GGAGUGGUGCAUUUCGGGACGUGUAGUUUUCCCCGGCAGGACCGUGGAAGUCGUGGUUUGCGUGCGGCCUGGCGCGGGAGGCUCCGCCACCGGGAUCAAUGGGACUGAAGCCCCAGCGGGAAGCCACUUACCAGAGGAUGUAGGUUCUUCAUCCAGAGCUCAAGUCUUCUUGGGAUCAGACCUUCCAGCUCCCUGGACUUGACCUUCCAGCUGCCUCUCAUGUACUUGUCUGUUGGGGGUUUGUGUUGAUCAGGAGUGAAUUCACAGUCUACCAUGAACUGGAAGGUUCUUGAGCACGUGCCCCUGCUGCUGUAUAUCUUGGCAGCAAAAACAUUAAUUCUCUGCCUGGCAUUUGCUGGAGUGAAAAUAUACCAAAGAAAAAGAUUGGAAGCAAAACAACAAAAACUGGAGGCUGAAAGGAAGAGGCAAUCAGAGAAAAAAGAUAACUGAAGGUCCUAAUUGGGACCACCUACUCCACUUGGAGUGUCCAGAUGGAGUUUCCCCUCCGCAGAUGCCUCUCACUCAUCCUCCACUACUUUGCUGACAAGGAAGGAACGAUAAUUGGCAGGAGGGAGUCUUGCUUGGUGACCAUCUGGACGAUACCUCACACAUGGCCAGCUGGAUGCCUGUGGAUGACUUUGGUGGAUGGAAACUGGUGGCAGAAGGAAGGUAUGGCAAAUAGCAAAAUAAAGUCAGUCUGCACACCUAGCUUCCACUGGAGCUUGCAGAGCUAAAGACGUUUCAUAAAAUGGGCAUGAAGGAUUCCCUCAAAUGAAGAUGUGGACAAAAUGAUUGGUCAGGUCCUUUGCUCUACUGUUGAAUGGAGGAGGAUUUUUUUCCCCCGCCGACACAGGGGUUUUCUUGGAGCUCAAGUUUGGACAACCCCAGACAGUAAGAUAAUCUCAUCAUGGUAAAGUUAAUAAGAAAUAUGUGGUCUCCAAACAGCCUCUUCUGGAGGCCAGGAUCAGCAGGUUUGGGUGGGUAAUUGGCUUGUGGUCAUUUUCUCUUAGGAUUUUUCUUUUAGUAGUGGAAACUGUUUUUCAGAUCAAAUUUGGAUGCCAACUAUGUGGAGCAGAAGUAUGGCUGCUGUGGUGGAAUUGAUCCCCCUGUCAGCCACACCCUUUUGUCUCCCCCUACCCCAAGGGACUCUGUGGCCUGGAACCGCAGUGUGAAAUGCUGUAUAGUGCAAUGAAGUCAAUUUUAAGACAAGAGUUCUUUGCCUCUCUCAUCUAAUUUUUAGUUAUGGAGAUGAGACACUUGUUCAGAAGUAUGGAAAAGUAUAUAUAAUAUGUUAUCUUUUAGAUAUGUGUGUAAAUAUGCAUAUGUAUGCAAUGUGCUUAUAUUUUAACGCAUAAACAACAUGAAUAAAGCAAACACUCUAGACUUCUCCAAAUGUA
Rhinopithecus roxellana (golden snub-nosed monkey) is the source of this 1397-nucleotide RNA transcript. It is a transcript of the gene named small integral membrane protein 11A, with no coding region annotated. NCBI's taxonomy places the organism in Eukaryota, Metazoa, Chordata, Mammalia, Primates, Cercopithecidae. The record is from RefSeq and is a predicted model, not a curated record. The transcript is spliced from 7 exons.